This 781-nucleotide ribosomal RNA is filed under the name uncultured bacterium. RNAcentral describes it as "bacterial SSU rRNA". It matches the Rfam family "Bacterial small subunit ribosomal RNA", at positions 68 to 882 of the family's 1533-position model. The record is from RNAcentral.
GAGAAAGUGGAGCAAUCCAUGAGUAAAGUGGCGUACGGGUGAGUAACACGUGGAUAAUCUGCCCUUUAGUGGGGAAUACCGUUGGGAAACCGACGACAAUACCGCAUAAGCUCGAGAGAGGAAAGCAGCAAUGCGCUGAAGGAGGAGUCCGCGGUCGAUUAGCUAGUUGGUGAGGUAAUGGCUCACCAAGGCUGUGAUCGAUAGCCGGCCUGAGAGGGCACACGGCCACACUGGCACUGAAACACGGGCCAGACUCCUACGGGAGGCAGCAGUGGGGAAUCUUGCACAAUGGGGGAAACCCUGAUGCAGCGACGCCGCGUGGGCGAUGAAGCCCUUCGGGGUGUAAAGCUCUUUCGGCAGGGAAGAUUAUGACGGUACCUGCAGAAGCAGCUGCGGCUAACUACGUGCCAGCAGCCGCGGUAAUACGUAGGCAGCAAGCGUUGUUCGGAGUUACUGGGCGUAAAGGGUGCGUAGGCGGCUCUAUAAGUAUGGUGUGAAAUCUCCCGGCUUAACUGGGAGGGUGCGCUAUAGACUGUGGGGCUAGAGGGUGGGAGAGGAAAGUGGAAUUCCUGGUGUAGCGGUGAAAUGCGUAGAUAUCAGGAGGAACACCGGUGGUGUAAACGGCUUUCUGGACCACUUCUGACGCUGAGGCACGAAAGCGUGGGUAGCAAACAGGAUUAGAUACCCUGGUAGUCCACGCCCUAAACGAUGCAUAUUUGGUGUGGGUCAUUCAGUUGAUCCGUGCCCGGAGCUAACGCGUUAAUAUGCCGCCUGGGGAGUA